AUUGAACGCUGGCGGCGUGCCUAACACAUGCAAGUCGAGCGGUAACAGGUGUAGCAAUACAUGCUGACGAGCGGCGAACGGGUGAGUAAUGCUUCGGAAUCUGCCCAUGUAGUGGGGAAUAACCAGCCGAAAGGUUGGCUAAUACCGCAUACGACCUACGGGUGAAAGCAGGGGAUCGCAAGACCUUGCGCUAUUGGAUGAGCCGAAGUCGGANAGCUUGUUGGUAGGGUAACGGCCUACCAAGGCGACGAUCCGUAGCUGGUCUGAGAGGACGACCAGCCACACUGGGACUGAGACACGGCCCAGACUCCUACGGGA
RNAcentral lists this ribosomal RNA (318 nucleotides) under uncultured bacterium. Its description in RNAcentral is "bacterial SSU rRNA". It matches the Rfam family "Bacterial small subunit ribosomal RNA", at positions 30 to 346 of the family's 1533-position model. The record is from RNAcentral.